AUCGAAGUGGACGAUCGAACGAAGAGCGGAGAAGCGCGUGCGACUCCGCUCCUAUGCGCGAUCCUUUACUACGCAUGGUUUUGACCAUUCACGAAUUCUCUACGUCCAUUAUAAUUACCGAAUAUAAAAAAUAACGAUUCACGUGGUAUUCAUUGGUAAAGUUCGAAUCAAUCGGCGUUGACUUUCAAUCUGGCGAAUAUCAAAGCGCCAUCGGCGUACUAGGAGGUGGUGGUACCCCAAGGGUGGUUAGUGUACUACCUCUACUACCAUUUCCCGAUAACUACGAUUACCGCUACCACGAGUAACUAUUUCAUUCGGAUCGUCCUUGCCCGUUUACACGAGGAUCGAAAAAAGAAGAAAACAAA
Molecule: long non-coding RNA, 365 nt
Filed under: Polistes fuscatus (common paper wasp)
Lineage: Eukaryota; Metazoa; Arthropoda; Insecta; Hymenoptera; Vespidae
Description: uncharacterized LOC122525014
Source: RNAcentral